CUGAGGUCUCUGGGGAAGGCAGAGCUGUGGUCUAGAAGAUGAGACUGUUGGGUUUUCUACUUUGCCUGGUGACGGCUCCCCAAGGUGUCCUGUCCCAGGUGCAGCUGCAGGAGUCGGGCCCAGGACUGGUGAAGCCCUCACAGAGGCUGUCACUCACCUGCACUGUCUCUGGAUCCUCCAUCACAUCCAGCAGUUAUGGUUGGAGCUGGAUCCGCCAGCCUCCAGGGAAGGGGCUGGAAUGGCUGGGAAGUGGUUACUAUUAUAGAUCAUCGUGGAAUACAGACUACAGCCCCUCCAAAAGGGCCGCAUCUCCAUCACUGCUGACACGUCCAAGAACCAGUUCUCUCUGCAGCUGAUCUCCGUGACCACUCAGGACACGGCCGUGUAUUACUGUGCAGGAAGCACAGUCCCUGUGUGCACUGUGACCAGGGGCAGCUUUGGCUUGGACACCUGCCUCACUGCUGCCAAAUCGGGCAACUGUCUGAUGAUGUAG
Non-coding RNA from Ceratotherium simum simum (southern white rhinoceros), 493 nucleotides. NCBI's taxonomy places the organism in Eukaryota, Metazoa, Chordata, Mammalia, Perissodactyla, Rhinocerotidae. The record is from the annotation of a RefSeq genome assembly.